UUGGAGGGCAAGUCUGGUGCCAGCAGCCGCGGUAAUUCCAGCUCCAAUAGCGUAUAUUAGAGUUGUUGCAGUUAAAAAGCUCGUAGUUGAAUUUCGGGAUUGACGUGACGGUCAUGCCUUAAGGGGUAUGAACUGUUACUGUUGAUUUCUCACCUUCUGGAGAAACUUGAUGUCCUUUAUUGGGUGUCUUGCGGAUCCAGGACCUUUACCUUGAAAAAAUUAGAGUGUUUAAAGCAGGCAUUUUUGCUCGAAUACAUUAGCAUGGAAUAAUAGAAUAGGACGGCAUGGUUCUAUUCUGUUGGUUUCUAGGAUCACCGUAAUGAUUAAUAGGGAUAGUUGGGGGCAUUAGUAUUCAAUUGUCAGAGGUGAAAUUCUUGGAUUUAUUGAAGACUAACUACUGCGAAAGCAUUUGCCAAGGAUGUUUUCAUUAAUCAAGAACGAAAGUUAGGGGAUCGAAGACGAUCAGAUACCGUCGUAGUCUUAACCAUAAACUAUGCCGACUAGGAAUCAGACGAUGUUAAUUUUUUAAUGACUCGUUUGGCACCUUACGGGAAACCAAAGUGUUUGGGUUC
This 572-nucleotide ribosomal RNA is filed under the name uncultured Glomeromycotina. RNAcentral's name for it is "SSU rRNA". It matches the Rfam family "Eukaryotic small subunit ribosomal RNA", at positions 548 to 1114 of the family's 1831-position model. Lineage: Eukaryota; Fungi; Glomeromycota. The record is from RNAcentral.